RNAcentral lists this ribosomal RNA (349 nucleotides) under uncultured bacterium. Its description in RNAcentral is "partial 16S ribosomal RNA". It matches the Rfam family "Bacterial small subunit ribosomal RNA", at positions 338 to 685 of the family's 1533-position model. The record is from RNAcentral.
CCUACGGGUGGCAGCAGUGAGGAAUAUUGGUCAAUGGGCGCGAGCCUGAACCAGCCAAGUAGCGUGAAGGAAGACGGCCCUACGGGUUGUAAACCUCUUUUAUAAAGGAACAAAGUGAGGCACGUGUGCCUUUUUGAGAGUACUCGAUGAAAAAGCAUCGGCUAACUCCGUGCCAGCAGCCGCGGUAAUACGGAGGAUGCGAGCGUUAUCCGGAUUUAUUGGGUUUAAAGGGAGCGUGGGCGGGGGGUUAAGUCAGAGGUAAAAUUGGGGGGCUCAACCGCGUAGGGCAGUUGAAUAGGGGUGUAUUGAGUGAGCGAGAGGGAGGCGGAAGGCGUGGGGUAGCGGUGAA